GCUCCAACCCUUUCAUCAAUGUUGUGAUCUUCCAAAGGUUCAGACCCAGCAGAACUAUCACUAACGCAGACCAGGGGCUGUGGCAAGCUCACUGGCACUUCCUCACCACUUUGAAUAUUGGAUUGCCCUAUAUCUCCAGUAUCUGCCAACAGAUUACCAGGUGCCUCGGGUGAGCUCACUAACUGAGUUAUAGUGUCUGACACAAUAGAUGGGAAAUUUACAGUCACCAAUGGUGAAACUGCAU
RNAcentral lists this unclassified non-coding RNA (244 nucleotides) under Hevea brasiliensis (rubber tree). The record is from RNAcentral. Lineage: Eukaryota; Viridiplantae; Streptophyta; Magnoliopsida; Malpighiales; Euphorbiaceae.